CCGUCUUGAAACACGGACCAAGGAGUUUAUCGUGUGCGCAAGUCAUUGGGUGUUGAAAACUCAAAGGCGCAAUGAAAGUAAAGAAUCCGCAAGGAUACGACGUGUGAUCUGAGCAAUCACGAUUGCCUGGAGCAACAUGGCCCCAUUCUGGUCGCUUGCGACGGGGUGGAGGAAGAGCGUACGCGGUGAGACCCGAAAGAUGGUGAACUAUUCCUGAGCAGGAUGAAGCCAGAGGAAACUCUGGUGGAAGUCCGAAGCGAUUCUGACGUGCAAAUCGAUCGUCUGACUUGGGUAUAGGGGCGAAAGACUAAUCGAACCAUCUAGUAGCUGGUUCCUUCCGAA
This 342-nucleotide ribosomal RNA is filed under the name Pratylenchus penetrans. RNAcentral describes it as "partial large subunit ribosomal RNA". It matches the Rfam family "Eukaryotic large subunit ribosomal RNA", at positions 649 to 965 of the family's 3401-position model. The record is from RNAcentral. Lineage: Eukaryota; Metazoa; Nematoda; Chromadorea; Rhabditida; Pratylenchidae.